GGGAAGGAUGAGAAGCUUCGACAAGGUUCGAGUCUCAUGCAAUGAGACAACGCGCUUCAGCGCGGCCCACAGGGUGAGGAGUGCAACGACGAGUAAUCCUUCCCCCACCACCA
Hammondia hammondi is the source of this 113-nucleotide non-coding RNA. The record is from Rfam. Lineage: Eukaryota; Apicomplexa; Conoidasida; Eucoccidiorida; Sarcocystidae.